This 339-nucleotide ribosomal RNA is filed under the name Triticum aestivum (bread wheat). RNAcentral's name for it is "partial small subunit ribosomal RNA". The record is from RNAcentral. Lineage: Eukaryota; Viridiplantae; Streptophyta; Magnoliopsida; Poales; Poaceae.
AUGGAGGAAUUAAAAGAUGUUAUCUGGUCCAUGCACGGGGAAAAGGCCCUGGGACCUGAUGGGUUCAUUGGCAACUUCUUCAAGCACUGUUGGGAUUGUGUCAAGUUGGAUUUAUUCUCUGCUGUACGACAAUUUUUUGAUCUGAAGGGGUCCACGGGCCACCUGCUGAACAUUGCGCACUUGGUUUUAAUCCCAAAGAAAGAGGCAGUUUCUGAUGCAAGGGACAAUAGGCCGAUCAGCUUGAUACAUAGUUUUGCAAAGAUUGUUUGCAAGCUUUUAGCAACUAGGCUGGCUCCUGAGCUCAACAAUAUCAUUUCCCCGUGUCAGAGUGCUUUAUAA